AGUCGAGGGGCAGCGGGGGUGCAGGCUUGCCUGCACCUGCCGGCGACCGGCGUGCGGGUGAGUAACACGUAUGGAACCUGCCCGCCACAGGGGGAUAACCCGGGGAAACCCGGCCUAAUACCCCAUGCCGCCCGGACCGGGCAUCCGGACCGGGCGAAAGGAGGAAUCCGGUGGCGGCUGGGCAUGCGGCGCAUUAGCUUGACGGCGGGGUAACGGCCCACCGUGGCGACGAUGCGUAGGGGUUCUGAGAGGAAGGCCCCCCACACUGGAACUGAGACACGGUCCAGACUCCUACGGGAGGCAGCAGUGAGGAAUAUUGGUCAAUGGGCGGAAGCCUGAACCAGCCAAGUCGCGUGAGGGAAUAAGGCCCUACGGGUCGUAAACCUCUUUUGCCGGGGAGCAAGGGCCGGGACGAGUCCCGGCCCGGAGAGUACCCGGAGAAAAAGCAUCGGCUAACUCCGUGCCAGCAGCCGCGGUAAUACGGAGGAUGCGAGCGUUAUCCGGAUUUAUUGGGUUUAAAGGGUGCGUAGGCGGGCUUUUAAGUCAGCGGUAAAAAUUCGGGGCUCAACCCCGUCCGGCCGUUGAAACUGGGGGCCUUGAGUGGGCGAGAAGAAGGCGGAAUGCGUGGUGUAGCGGUGAAAUGCAUAGAUAUCACGCAGAACCCCGAUUGCGAAGGCAGCCUUCCGGCGCCCUACUGACGCUGAGGCACGAAAGUGCGGGGAUCGAACAGGAUUAGAUACCCUGGUAGUCCGCACAGUAAACGAUG
Molecule: ribosomal RNA, 766 nt
Filed under: uncultured bacterium
Lineage: Bacteria
Description: bacterial SSU rRNA
Rfam family: Bacterial small subunit ribosomal RNA
Source: RNAcentral